Molecule: transfer RNA, 58 nt
Filed under: Setaria labiatopapillosa
Lineage: Eukaryota; Metazoa; Nematoda; Chromadorea; Rhabditida; Setariidae
Description: tRNA-Asn
Source: RNAcentral
GAGACUUUAAUAUAAGUUUUUGUAUAUCUAAUUGUUGAUUAGAAAGUUUUUUGUCUCU